Long non-coding RNA from Engraulis encrasicolus (European anchovy), 415 nucleotides. RefSeq lists it as uncharacterized. Lineage: Eukaryota; Metazoa; Chordata; Actinopteri; Clupeiformes; Engraulidae. The transcript has 3 exons. The record is from RefSeq and is a predicted model, not a curated record.
UGUGUCAAAAAAAAUAACACAUUGGGAUGUGUAGACAGCAUUGACAGAUUAUGUGUCAUUUUUGUGUAAGAUUUCACAGAAUGUGUGAAACCUGAAGUUAAGAGAUUCAUUUCUGGGUCGUGCUACAACAAGUGAGAAACUAACGGCCGUUUGGCUGUCCAAUCGCGUGACUGUGGACAUUUGAAAGCAGACUUCCGCCCGCCUUUUCUACCGUUGGAAAUGCAAGAUGCGGCGACUUGACUUCAGACACCGAGAGAGGCUGGCGGCCCAGGUCUUGUGGCCACAUCUGUCCAAGCUCCUACUCUGAUUGAACAGUUGGAUGAUCAGACUGAUGAUGAAAAGUGCUACACAGUUCUCACACAUCUUCUGACUCCGAAGCCGCUGCAGUGUAAAAUCUGAGAUGUCUUUUCUGGUU